GACGAACGCUGGCGGCGUGCCUAAUACAUGCAAGUUGAGCGAUGAAGAUUGGUGCUUGCACCAAUUUGAAGAGCAGCGAACGGGUGAGUAACGCGUGGGGAAUCUGCCUUUGAGCGGGGGACAACAUUUGGAAACGAAUGCUAAUACCGCAUAACAACUUUAAACAUAAGUUUUAAGUUUGAAAGAUGCAAUUGCAUCACUCAAAGAUGAUCCCGCGUUGUAUUAGCUAGUUGGUGAGGUAAAGGCUCACCAAGGCGAUGAUACAUAGCCGACCUGAGAGGGUGGUCGGCCACAUUGGGACUGAGACACGGCCCAAACUCCUACGGGAGGCAGCAGUAGGGAAUCUUCGGCAAUGGACGCAAGUCUGACCGAGCAACGCCGCGUGAGUGAAGAAGGUUUUCGGAUCGUAAAACUCUGUUGGUAGAGAAGAACGUUGGUGAGAGUGGAAAGCUCAUCAAGUGACGGUAACUACCCAGAAAGGGACGGCUAACUACGUG
This 497-nucleotide ribosomal RNA is filed under the name uncultured bacterium. RNAcentral's name for it is "partial 16S ribosomal RNA". It matches the Rfam family "Bacterial small subunit ribosomal RNA", at positions 28 to 507 of the family's 1533-position model. The record is from RNAcentral.